Molecule: ribosomal RNA, 429 nt
Filed under: Acidobacteriota bacterium
Lineage: Bacteria; Pseudomonadati; Acidobacteriota
Description: Acidobacteria bacterium partial 16S ribosomal RNA
Rfam family: Bacterial small subunit ribosomal RNA
Source: RNAcentral
UGGGGAAUUUUGGACAAUGGGGGAAACCCUGAUCCAGCCAUCCCGCGUGUGCGAUGAAGGCCUUCGGGUUGUAAAGCACUUUUGGCAGGAAAGAAACGUCAUGGGUUAAUACCCCGUGAAACUGACGGUACCUGCAGAAUAAGCACCGGCUAACUACGUGCCAGCAGCCGCGGUAAUACGUAGGGUGCAAGCGUUAAUCGGAAUUACUGGGCGUAAAGCGUGCGCAGGCGGUUCGGAAAGAAAGAUGUGAAAUCCCAGAGCUCAACUUUGGAACUGCAUUUUUAACUACCGGGCUAGAGUGUGUCAGAGGGAGGUGGAAUUCCGCGUGUAGCAGUGAAAUGCGUAGAUAUGCGGAGGAACACCGAUGGCGAAGGCAGCCUCCUGGGAUAACACUGACGCACAUGCACGAAAGCGUGGGGAGCAAACAGG